GAUGAACGCUGGCGGCAUGCCUUACACAUGCAAGUCGAACGGCAGCACGGACUUCGGUCUGGUGGCGAGUGGCGAACGGGUGAGUAAUACAUCGGAACGUGCCUAGUAGUGGGGGAUAACUACUCGAAAGAGUGGCUAAUACCGCAUGAGAUCUACGGAUGAAAGCAGGGGAUCGCAAGACCUUGUGCUACUAGAGCGGCCGAUGGCAGAUUAGGUAGUUGGUGGGAUAAAAGCUUACCAAGCCAACGAUCUGUAGCUGGUCUGAGAGGACGAUCAGCCACACUGGGACUGAGACACGGCCCAG
This 304-nucleotide ribosomal RNA is filed under the name uncultured bacterium. RNAcentral's name for it is "bacterial SSU rRNA". It matches the Rfam family "Bacterial small subunit ribosomal RNA", at positions 28 to 334 of the family's 1533-position model. The record is from RNAcentral.